CCUGGGCUCAUGUGAUCCUCCUGUUUCAGCCUCCCAAAGUGAUAGGAUUGGAGACAUGAGCCACUGAGCCUGGCCAGUUUUUGCUGUUUAUAAUGGUCCCCAAGCAUAGCACUGAAGCGCUGUCUAGUGUUCAGUGUUAAUGAAUUAACAAGAUUGAAAAAUUUCAGCAGCCUACAAUUUUCCUGACAAAAAUUGAAAGCAGGCAGCG
This is a long non-coding RNA of Homo sapiens (human), 208 nucleotides long. RefSeq lists it as uncharacterized. NCBI's taxonomy places the organism in Eukaryota, Metazoa, Chordata, Mammalia, Primates, Hominidae. The transcript has 2 exons. The record is from RefSeq and is a predicted model, not a curated record.